RNAcentral lists this transfer RNA (72 nucleotides) under Volvox carteri f. nagariensis. It matches the Rfam family "tRNA". Rfam says of the family: Transfer RNA (tRNA) molecules are approximately 80 nucleotides in length. The record is from Rfam by way of RNAcentral. Lineage: Eukaryota; Viridiplantae; Chlorophyta; Chlorophyceae; Chlamydomonadales; Volvocaceae.
GAGAGUUUGGUCUAGUGGUAUGAUUCUCGCUUAGGGUGCGAGAGGUCGUGGGUUCAAUUCCCGCAACUCCCC